AUACAGAGGGUGCAAGCGUUAUUCGGAAUUACUGGGCGUAAAGCGCGCGUAGGCGGAUGAUUAAGUCAGUUGUGAAAGCCCUGGGCUCAACCUAGGAACUGCAUCUGAUACUGGUCGUCUAGAGUUUAAGAGAGGGAAGUGGAAUUCCAGGUGUAGCAGUGAAAUGCGUAGAUAUCUGGAGGAACAUCAGUGGCGAAGGCGACUUCCUGGCUUAAAUCUGACGCUGAGGUGCGAAAGCGUGGGUAGCGAACGGGAUUAGAAACCCUAGUAGUCC
Molecule: ribosomal RNA, 274 nt
Filed under: uncultured bacterium
Lineage: Bacteria
Description: partial 16S ribosomal RNA
Rfam family: Bacterial small subunit ribosomal RNA
Source: RNAcentral